RNAcentral lists this ribosomal RNA (301 nucleotides) under uncultured bacterium. Its description in RNAcentral is "partial 16S ribosomal RNA". It matches the Rfam family "Bacterial small subunit ribosomal RNA", at positions 509 to 807 of the family's 1533-position model. The record is from RNAcentral.
CAGCAGCCGCGGUAAUACGGAGGGUGCAAGCGUUAAUCGGAAUUACUGGGCGUAAAGCGCACGCAGGCGGUUUGUUAAGUCAGAUGUGAAAUCCCCGAGCUUAACUUGGGAACUGCAUUUGAAACUGGCAAGCUAGAGUCUUGUAGAGGGGGGUAGAAUUCCAGGUGUAGCGGUGAAAUGCGUAGAGAUCUGGAGGAAUACCGGUGGCGAAGGCGGCCCCCUGGACAAAGACUGACGCUCAGGUGCGAAAGCGUGGGGAGCAAACAGGAUUAGAUACCCGAGUAGUCCCUGUCUCUUAUAC